CGGGCGAGCUGAAGAUGGCUGACACGCGCUAUCAGGACCUCCGGUCGGAGAAACGCCCGCUGAUCAAACGGGACGGCGUCCGCCUUGAUCUGAUCUCUGGCGAGAUCGAAGGCACCGCCGGGCCGGCGCUGAACACGUGGCCCAUCACCGGGAUGCUGAUCACGCUGGAGCCCAACCGCAGAUUGGAGCACGUGCUGCCCAGCCGCCAUCGGGCCUUCUUCUACGUCCUUUCGGGAGAAGUGGCCGUUGGCGGCCGACCGGUCCGAGCCGGCCAGGUCGCCUGGUCCGACCCCGUGCCUCAAAGCACUUCGUCAGCGAUCAAACUGGCGACUGGCGAUGGGGACAGGCCGAGCGUAGUCAUGAUUUACAGCGGCCAGCCAAUCGGCGAACCGGUAGUGAUGGGCGGGCCGUUCGUGAUGAAUACGAAUGCCGAGAUCCAGCAGGCGUUCAGAGACUUUCGUUCGGGCCAGUUCGGCGACAUCCCUCGCCAGGCUCGCCUCGACGAUCGCUGAAGGCGAAUCUCAACAAGGG
RNAcentral lists this unclassified non-coding RNA (531 nucleotides) under uncultured fungus. Its description in RNAcentral is "sequence contains 18S rRNA gene, ITS1, 5.8S rRNA gene, ITS2, 28S rRNA gene". The record is from RNAcentral. Lineage: Eukaryota; Fungi.